AACUAAUUCUAGCUCAACAGAACCAAAACUUAAUAACAACCUGUCAAUAAACCAAAACAUUUACCUUUUAAAAAGUAUAGGAGAUAGAAAUUUAAAACAUGAAGCUAUAGAGAUAGUACCGUAAGGGAAAGAUGAAAGAAAAUUUUAAUAGUAAAACAAAGCAAAGAUUAAAACUUUUACCUUUUGCAUAAUGAUUUAACUAGAAAAAUUUUGACAAAAAGAAUUUAAGCCAAAACCCCCGAAACCAGACGAGCUACUUAUAAGCAGCCAAUUAGGGCCAAUCCGUCUAUGUAGCAAAAUAGUGGAAAGACUUUUAAGUAGAGGUGAAAAGCCUAUCGAGCCUGGUGAUAGCUGGUUGUCCAGAUUAGAAUUUUAGUUCAACUUUAAAUUUAUCUAAAGCAUAACUCUUAAAGCCAAAUAUAAAUUUAAAUGUUAUUCUAAAGAGGGACAGCUCUUUAGAAAAAGGAAAAAACCUUAAUUAGAGAGUAAAUACUCUAUUCACCAUAGUUGGCCUAAAAGCAGCCAUCAAUUAAAAAAGCGUUAAAGCUUAACCUAAUUAUUAAAACUUAAUCUCUUAAUUCUAAAAUGACCUCCUAAUGUACUUACUGGACUAAUCUAUAAUUUUAUAGAAGAAAUAAUGUUAGAAUGAGUAACAAGAACAAUUAUUCUCCCUGCAUAAGCUUAUAUUAGACCAAAUAAUUCUCUAAUAGUUAACAACUCUAUAACAAUAAGUAUAAUAUAAAAUUAUUAUUCAAUGUAUUGUUAACCCAACUCCGGUAUGCACAAUAUUAAGGGAAAGAUUAAAAAGAAUAAAAGGAACUCGGCAAAUAACAACCCCGCCUGUUUACCAAAAACAUCACCUCUAGCAUAAAAAGUAUUAGAGGCACCGCCUGCCCAGUGACAUAAGUUAAACGGCCGCGGUAUCCUGACCGUGCAAAGGUAGCAUAAUCAUUUGUUCCUUAAAUAGGGACUUGUAUGAAUGGCUUGACGAGGGUUUAACUGUCUCUUAUUCUUGAUCAGUGAAAUUGACCUUCCCGUGAAGAGGCGGGAAUAAACAAAUAAGACGAGAAGACCCUAUGGAGCUUAAAUUUUAUAGUCUAGCAUUCACUAAACUCUCUCUACGGAUUUAAGACUUAUGCCUACAGACUACAAAUUUUGGUUGGGGUGACCUCGGAGAAUAAACUAACCUCCGAAUGAUAUUAAUCUAGACCAUAACCCGUCUAAAUCUAAGUUCAUAAAUUGACCCAAAAAACAUUUGAUCAACGGAACAAGUUACCCUAGGGAUAACAGCGCAAUCCUACUCAAGAGUUCAUAUCGACAGUUAGGGUUUACGACCUCGAUGUUGGAUCAGGACAUCCAAAUGGUGUAACCGCUAUUAAUGGUUCGUUUGUUCAACGAUUAAAGUCCUACGUGAUCUGAGUUCAGACCGGAGAAAUCCAGGUCGGUUUCUAUCUAUUAUUAGAUUUCUCCCAGUACGAAAGGACAAGAGAAAUAAGGCCAAUUUUCCUAAUACGCCUUAAACAAAUAAAUGAUAUUAUCUCAAUUUAAUUAGCUACUCCCUACCCAAUCCUAGAACAGGAUUU
Molecule: ribosomal RNA, 1583 nt
Filed under: Tamias striatus (eastern chipmunk)
Lineage: Eukaryota; Metazoa; Chordata; Mammalia; Rodentia; Sciuridae
Description: 16S ribosomal RNA
Rfam family: Bacterial large subunit ribosomal RNA
Source: RNAcentral